UGGAUCCAGACUUUGAUUCUGGCUCAGGAUGAACGCUAGCUACAGGCUUAACACAUGCAAGUCGAGGGGAAACGACAUCGAAAGCUUGCUUUUGAUGGGCGUCGACCGGCGCACGGGUGAGUAACGCGUAUCCAACCUGCCCAUCACUUGGGGAUAACCUUGCGAAAGUAAGACUAAUACCCAAUGAUAUCUCUAGAAGACAUCUGAAAGAGAUUAAAGAUUUAUCGGUGAUGGAUGGGGAUGCGUCUGAUUAGCUUGUUGGCGGGGUAACGGCCCACCAAGGCGACGAUCAGUAGGGGUUCUGAGAGGAAGGUCCCCCACAUUGGAACUGAGACACGGUCCAAACUCCUACGGGAGGCAGCAGUGAGGAAUAUUGGUCAAUGGACGAGAGUCUGAACCAGCCAAGUAGCGUGCAGGAUGACGGCCCUAUGGGUUGUAAACUGCUUUUAUAAGGGAAUAAAGUGAGAGUCGUGACUCUUUUUGCAUGUACCUUAUGAAUAAGGACCGGCUAAUUCCGUGCCAGCAGCCGCGGUAAUACGGAAGGUCCGGGCGUUAUCCGGAUUUAUUGGGUUUAAAGGGAGCGUAGGCCGGAGAUUAAGCGUGUUGUGAAAUGUAGACGCUCAACGUCUGCACUGCAGCGCGAACUGGUUUCCUUGAGUACGCACAAAGUGGGCGGAAUUCGUGGUGUAGCGGUGAAAUGCUUAGAUAUCACGAAGAACUCCGAUUGCGAAGGCAGCUCACUGGAGCGCAACUGACGCUGAAGCUCGAAAGUGCGGGUAUCGAACAGGAUUAGAUACCCUGGUAGUCCGCACGGUAAACGAUGGAUGCCCGCUGUUGGUCUGAAUAGGUCAGCGGCCAAGCGAAAGCAUUAAGCAUCCCACCUGGGGAGUACGCCGGCAACGGUGCAACUCAAAUGAAUUGACGGA
RNAcentral lists this ribosomal RNA (926 nucleotides) under uncultured bacterium. RNAcentral describes it as "bacterial SSU rRNA". It matches the Rfam family "Bacterial small subunit ribosomal RNA", at positions 1 to 917 of the family's 1533-position model. The record is from RNAcentral. RNAcentral also lists the same sequence under 1 other name.